Non-coding RNA from Curvularia clavata, 91 nucleotides. Lineage: Eukaryota; Fungi; Ascomycota; Dothideomycetes; Pleosporales; Pleosporaceae. The record is from the annotation of a GenBank genome assembly.
GUCUCGGUGGCGCAAUGGUAGCGCGUUGGACUUCUACUUAAUCUCCUCCAGGUUAAUCCAAAGGCUGCGGGUUCGAGCCCCGCCCGAGAUG